Molecule: ribosomal RNA, 395 nt
Filed under: uncultured bacterium
Lineage: Bacteria
Description: partial 16S ribosomal RNA
Rfam family: Bacterial small subunit ribosomal RNA
Source: RNAcentral
CCUACGGGAGGCUGCAGUGAGGAAUAUUGGUCAAUGGGCGUAAGCCUGAACCAGCCAAGUCGCGUGAGGGAUGAAGGUUCUAUGGAUUGUAAACCUCUUUUAUCAGGGAAUAAAGUGCGGGACGUGUCCCGUUUUGUAUGUACCUUAUGAAUAAGGAUCGGCUAACUCCGUGCCAGCAGCCGCGGUAAUACGGAGGAUCCGAGCGUUAUCCGGAUUUAUUGGGUUUAAAGGGUGCGUAGGCGGGCGUUUAAGUCAGCGGUGAAAGUUGGUGGCUCAACCAUCGAAGAGCCGUUGAAACUGGGAGCCUUGAGUGUGUGAGAGGCAGGCGGAAUGCGUGGUGUAGCGGUGAAAUGCUUAGAUAUCACGCAGAACCCCGAUUGCGAAGGCAGCGUGCC